AAGAGAUCGGAGGGCACAUCGUCAUGUGAAGGAGAGACACUGCUUCCCAGGAUAGAGUCCCCUGUCCUCAUACUCAAACUCAAAUGAUUCUGUGUACCUGCUCCGCCCACUGAAAAAUCUCCUGAGCUCAUGCCUGAAAUCAGAUAAUUCUG
Long non-coding RNA from Malaclemys terrapin pileata, 152 nucleotides. RefSeq lists it as uncharacterized. The transcript has 3 exons. The record is from RefSeq and is a predicted model, not a curated record. Lineage: Eukaryota; Metazoa; Chordata; Testudines; Emydidae.